RNAcentral lists this ribosomal RNA (332 nucleotides) under uncultured eukaryote. Its description in RNAcentral is "partial 18S ribosomal RNA". It matches the Rfam family "Eukaryotic small subunit ribosomal RNA", at positions 1470 to 1796 of the family's 1831-position model. The record is from RNAcentral.
CCCUUAGAUGUUCUGGGCUGCACACGUGCUACACUGGCAGGUUCAGCGAGCUUCAUGCCCUGAUCUGAAAGGAAUGGGAAAUCUUUUCAAAACCUGCCGUGCUUGGGAUAGAUGUUUGCAAUUAUUCAUCUUCAACGAGGAUUGCCUUGUAAGCGCACGUCAUCAGCGUGCAUUGAAUACGACCCUGUAUUCUGUACACACCGCCCGUCGCACCUACCGAUUGAAGUUUUCGGUGAGUUGACAGGAGGAUUUUUUUGAAACUGGUUCGCCAGUGGAUUUUAGAUCCAAAUGCCAACGAAUCGAUGGCUUUAGAGGAAGGAGAAGUCGUAACA